UGUCAUGGCAAGCUUCACUAUGGCAUUGUUGUAUCGAUGUCUAGACUUCCGCUUUAUUUUCACUGCUUAAACUCUGAAGAACUUUACUUUCUACAAUUUCGAACUCUUGUGGUGUAAUAAUUAAAGUGGGACCUAUGUUAAUCUACGUGAAUUGUUGUAAUCUCUGGACUCGCCUUCGUGUGAGUAUGCUUUGUUUCGAUCCAAGACAAGAGGUUUAUCAGGUAAACCCAACAGACUGCUAGGUUAACUUGAUUAAAGUGUCGGUUCGCAUGUGAGGUAAAGUUGAGUACACUUUAGCUAGGUUAAUUUGGAUGGUUCUGCCACAGCUGGUAUCAGAGCUGGGAAAUGCAUACACUAGAGAGAGCAACAAGC
RNAcentral lists this long non-coding RNA (372 nucleotides) under Setaria viridis. RNAcentral describes it as "long non-coding RNA (SVIR_LNC004848)". Lineage: Eukaryota; Viridiplantae; Streptophyta; Magnoliopsida; Poales; Poaceae. The record is from RNAcentral.